CACAUGGCUUGGAGUUUUGUGUCCCUGCAAUGUUCUUACCUGACACACUGCUAUAGCAUGUGGGAAAAUAGGCUUCAAACACACUGAAACACCACAGGAACAUGAUGGUUUCCUCUCUGUGUUCCUUGAGGGUCUUCAGUUUAUCUAGACUGCCUUUCAUUGCUAGGAUUGAAGUGAUAAUUAAAAGUUUAGAAUAUGGAUGUUAUAGUUAUCGUGUGUCUACAGAAGUGAGAAAAACACCUCAGGCCAAGGUGGCUUCCCCAGAGAUGUUCUUGCUCAGUUAUCUAAAAGAUGUUGCAGUUGGCAGUUCCUAUAUUUAAUUACAGCUUGAACAUCAUGCUAAUGGAAUACUGUUCUUCUCUUGCCCUCAGAUAUGUAGGUGCAAAGCUCCUUCUGCUGCUCUUUUUGAAGUUCCCAGUGGAGAUGCUCAGGAGCUGGCUCUUCUGGACACAGCUGGUGCUACAUCAGGAAGAUUCUCAGGAUGCUCUCAAUGGUUUACUCAGUGCCAGGUGCACCAAACUGCAUGUUAGCCCUCAACCUGCCAGGAAGGGCGUCAUCCAAGGAGCACAGCAGGAGGAUGACUCCCUGCCCUUUCUGUUUUUGUCUUCUUUCAAAGCCAUCUGCUUCUCCGACCUAUUUCAGAGCAUGGAAAUUCACAAGAGCACCUUGGGGAUUCAGCCAGUAUUAGAAAAAGAAUUUUGGUGGUGCAGCCCGACCAAAGGAACUGGGAAUGGCAGCUUUGGCCAUCAGCACUGGAGAUCUAAUCCAAAGUCUGGAUGCUGGCUUCAGACUUGGUCCUGUCUCUGUGGCAACCUGUGGCACCUGAUGAGAGGAUCUCUAGGAAGGAAUACCACAAUGAAACUGUUGCAUGGAUAAGAACCAAAAUUCCAGUCCAGACUGGAGCCUGCUGCAGGCUAAGGCACAGCACAGAGAAAUAAAUGCUUAGAAGGAUCAAACA
Molecule: long non-coding RNA, 958 nt
Filed under: Phasianus colchicus (ring-necked pheasant)
Lineage: Eukaryota; Metazoa; Chordata; Aves; Galliformes; Phasianidae
Description: lncRNA (ENSPCLG00000003958.1)
Source: RNAcentral